GUGAACGCUGGCGGUAGGCCUAACACAUGCACGUCGAACGGCAGCACCGUAAGAGCUUGCUCUUACGGGUGGCGAGUGGCGGACGGGUGAGGAAUACAUCGGAAUCUACUUUUUCGUGGGGGAUAACGUAGGGAAACUUACGCUAAUACCGCAUACGACCUACGGGUGAAAGCAGGGGAUCUUCGGACCUUGCGCGAUUGAAUGAGCCGAUGUCGGAUUAGCUAGUUGGCGGGGUAAAGGCCCACCAAGGCGACGAUCCGUAGCUGGUCUGAGAGGAUGAUCAGCCACACUGGAACUGAGACACGGUCCAGACUCCUACGGGAGGCAGCAGUGGGGAAUAUUGGACAAUGGGCGCAAGCCUGAUCCAGCCAUACCGCGUGGGUGAAGAAGGCCUUCGGGUUGUAAAGCCCUUUUGUUGGGAAAGAAAAGCAGCAGGUUAAUACCCCGCUGUUCUGACGGUACCCAAAGAAUAAGCACCGGCUAACUUCGUG
Molecule: ribosomal RNA, 491 nt
Filed under: uncultured bacterium
Lineage: Bacteria
Description: partial 16S ribosomal RNA
Rfam family: Bacterial small subunit ribosomal RNA
Source: RNAcentral